Molecule: ribosomal RNA, 483 nt
Filed under: uncultured bacterium
Lineage: Bacteria
Description: partial 16S ribosomal RNA
Rfam family: Bacterial small subunit ribosomal RNA
Source: RNAcentral
GACGAACGCUGGCGGCGUGCUUAACACAUGCAAGUCGAACGCUGAGGCUCAGCUUUUGUUGGGUGGAUGAGUGGCGAACGGGUGAGUAACACGUGAGUAACCUGCCCCCUUCUUUGGGAUAACGCCCGGAAACGGGUGCUAAUACUGGAUAUUCACUGGUCUUCGCAUGGGGGUUGGUGGAAAGGGUUUUUCUGGUGGGGGAUGGGCUCGCGGCCUAUCAGCUUGUUGGUGGGGUGAUGGCCUACCAAGGCUUUGACGGGUGGCCGGCCUGAGAGGGUGACCGGUAACAUUGGGACUGAGAUACGGCCCAGACUCCUACGGGAGGCAGCAGUGGGGAAUAUUGCACAAUGGGCGCAAGCCUGAUGCAGCGACGCCGCGUGAGGGAUGGAGGCCUUCGGGUUGUGAACCUCUUUCGCUCAUGGUCAAGCCGCAACAAUGGUUGUGGUGAGGGUAGUGGGUAAAGAAGCGCCGGCUAACUACGUG